UUUUGCAUAUCAAAAAGCGGAGGAAAAGAAACCAACAGGGAUUGCCUCAGUAACGGCGAGUGAAGCGGCAACAGCUCAAAUUUGAAAUCUGGCCUCUUUGGGGUCCGAGUUGUAAUUUGUAGAGGAUGUUUCGGGCACCGCUCCGGUUUAAAUUUCUUGGAACAGAAUGUCAAAGAGGGUGAGAACCCCGUCUUGGACCGGCAGUAGGGCCCAUGUGAAACUCCUUCGACGAGUCGAGUUGUUUGGGAAUGCAGCUCAAAAUGGGUGGUAAAUUUCAUCUAAAGCUAAAUAUUGGCCAGAGACCGAUAGCGCACAAGUAGAGUGAUCGAAAGAUGAAAAGCACUUUGAAAAGAGAGUUAAACAGUACGUGAAAUUGUUGAAAGGGAAGCGCUUGCAACCAGACUUGCGCGCGGCGGUUCCCCCUUCCUUUUGGUUGGGUUAUUCCGCCGUGUCCAGGCCAACAUCGGUUCUGGGGGUCGGUUAAAGGCCUGGGGAAUGUAUCUACCCUUCGGGCGUAGACUUAUAGCCCCGGGUGUCAUGCGACCUCCCGGGACCGAGGAACGCGCUUCGGCUCGGAUGUUGGCGUAAUGGUUGUCAGCGACCCGUCUUGAAACACGGACCA
This 622-nucleotide ribosomal RNA is filed under the name Exophiala dermatitidis. RNAcentral describes it as "LSU rRNA". It matches the Rfam family "Eukaryotic large subunit ribosomal RNA", at positions 34 to 668 of the family's 3401-position model. The record is from RNAcentral. Lineage: Eukaryota; Fungi; Ascomycota; Eurotiomycetes; Chaetothyriales; Herpotrichiellaceae.